This 497-nucleotide ribosomal RNA is filed under the name uncultured bacterium. RNAcentral describes it as "bacterial SSU rRNA". It matches the Rfam family "Bacterial small subunit ribosomal RNA", at positions 30 to 530 of the family's 1533-position model. The record is from RNAcentral.
AUUGAACGCUGGCGGUAGGCCUAACACAUGCAAGUCGAACGCGAAAGUCCUUCGGGAUGAGUAGAGUGGCGGACGGGUGAGUAACGCGUAGGAAUCUGUCCUGUAGUGGGGGAUAACGUUUCGAAAGGAACGCUAAUACCGCAUACGCCCUACGGGGAAAGCGGGGAGUCUUCGGACCUCGUGCUAUAGGAGGAGCCUGCGUCGGAUUAGCUAGUUGGUGAGGUAAAGGCUCACCAAGGCGACGAUCCGUAGCUGGUCUGAGAGGAUGAUCAGCCACACCGGAACUGAGACACGGUCCGGACUCCUACGGGAGGCAGCAGUGGGGAAUAUUGGGCAAUGGACGAAAGUCUGACCCAGCCACGCCGCGUGAAGGAUGAAUGCCCUCUGGGUUGUAAACUUCUUUUGUAUGGGAAGAAAUUCCGAACGUGUUCGGAGCUGACGGUACCAUAAGAAUAAGCAUCGGCUAACUCCGUGCCAGCAGCCGCGGUAAUGUGUGA